UUAGAGUUUGAUCCUGGCUCAGAACGAACGCUGGCGGCAGGCUUAACACAUGCAAGUCGAACGCCCCGCAAGGGGAGUGGCAGACGGGUGAGUAACACGUGGGAACAUGCCCAAAGGUACGGAAUAUUCUCGGGAAACUGAGAGCAAUACCGUAUGUGCCCGAAAGGGGAAAGAUUUAUCGCCUUUGGAUUGGCCCGCGUCAGAUUAGCUAGUUGGUGGGGUAAAGGCCUACCAAGGCGAUGAUCUGUAGCUGGUCUGAGAGGACGAACAGCCACACUGGGACUGAGACACGGCCCAGACUCCUACGGGAGGCAGCAGUGGGGAAUAUUGACAAUGGGGGCAACCCUGAUCCAGCGAUGCCGCGUGUGUGAAGAAGGCCUGCGGGUUGUAAAGCACUUUCAGUUGGGAAGAGAAGCGCGAUGUGAAAAAUUGUUGCGGUGGAGACGUUACUGAUAGAAAGAAGCACCGGCUAACUCUGUGCCAGCAGCCGCGGUAAUACAGAGGGUGCGAGCGUUAAUCGGAGUGACUGGGCGUAAAGGGCGCGUAGGCGGUUAUAUUAGUCUGAUGUGAAAGACCUGGGCUUAACCUGGGAUAUGCGUUGGAAACGGUAUAGCUAGAGUGUGUGAGAGGGAAGAGGAAUUUCCGGAGUAGCGGUGAAAUGCGUAGAUCUCGGAAAGAACACUAGUGGCGAAGGCGACUUUCUGGCACACAACUGACGCUGAGGCGCGAAAGCGUGGGGAGCGAACAGGAUUAGAUACCCUGGUAGUCCACGCCCUAAACGAUGGAUACUAGGCGUAAGAGGUAUCGACCCCUCUUGUGCCGCAGCUAACGCACUAAGUAUCCCGCCUGGGGAGUACGGCCGCAAGGGUUGAAACUCAAAUGAAUUGACGGGGACCCGCACAAGCGGUGGAGCAUGUGGAUUAAUUCGAUACUAACCGAAGAACCUUACCCAGGUUUGACAUCGAUCGAAAGCUCUAGAGAUAGGGCCUUCCUCCCAAAAGGAGGACGUGAAGACACCUUGAUUGCAUGSCUGUCAGUCAAGCUCGUGCCGUGGAGGCUGUUACSGWUAAGUCCGCCUAACGGAGCGCAACCCAUGUCCCGUGUUACCAGCAUGAAAGAUGGGGACUCACAGGAGACCGCCGGUGUAAGCCGGAGGAAGGUGUGGAUGACGUCAAGUCAGCAUGGCAGUUACGCCUGGGGCUUCACACAUGCUACAAUGGGCGAAACAAAGGGCAGCAAUACCGCGAGGUGGAGCAAAUCCCAAAAAUACGCCCCCAGUUCAGAUUGCAGUCUGCAACUCGACUGCAUGAAGGCGGAAUCGCUAGUAAACGCAGGUCAGCUAUACUGCGUUGAAUACGUUCCCGGGUCUUGUACACACCGCCCGUCAAGUCACCUGAAUUGUCUUCACCCGAAGUCCGUGGCCUAACCCGCAAGGGAAGGAGCGGCCGAAGGUGAGGGGGGUAAGGGGGACUAAGUCGUAACAAGGUAACC
This 1491-nucleotide ribosomal RNA is filed under the name uncultured bacterium. RNAcentral's name for it is "16S ribosomal RNA". It matches the Rfam family "Bacterial small subunit ribosomal RNA". The record is from RNAcentral.